This 1063-nucleotide ribosomal RNA is filed under the name uncultured bacterium. Its description in RNAcentral is "bacterial SSU rRNA". It matches the Rfam family "Bacterial small subunit ribosomal RNA", at positions 62 to 1104 of the family's 1533-position model. The record is from RNAcentral.
UCGAACGGAACUUACUUAGCUUGCUUUGUAAGUUUAGUGGCGGACGGGUGAGUAACACGUGAGCAACCUGCCCAGAAGAAAGGGAUAGCUCGGGGAAACUCGAAUUAAUACCAUAUGUGAUCCUGUGAAGCAUUUCGCGGGAAUGAAAGAUGCCUUCGGGUGUCACUUCUGGAUGGGCUCGCGGCCUAUCAGUUAGUUGGUGAGGUAACGGCUCACCAAGGCAAUGACGGGUGGCUGGUCUGAGAGGACGACCAGUCACACUGGAACUGAGACACGGUCCAGACACCUACGGGUGGCAGCAGUCGAGAAUCAUUCGCAAUGGGGGAAACCCUGACGGUGCGACGCCGCGUGGAGGAUGACGGUCUUCGGAUUGUAAACUCCUGUCAUCGAAGAGUAAGGCUUAUGUAUUAAUAGUAUGUAAGAUUGAUAGUAUUCGAAGAGGAAGGGACGGCUAACUUCGUGCCAGCAGCCGCGGUAAUACGAAGGUCCCAAGCGUUGUUCGGAAUCACUGGGCGUAAAGGGAGCGUAGGCGGUGAGGUAAGUCAGAUGUGAAAUUCCAGGGCUCAACCCUGGAACUGCAUCCGAUACUGCCUUACUAGAGUAGUGGAGGGGCAUCUGGAAUUCACGGUGUAGCAGUGAAAUGCGUAGAGAUCGUGAGGAACACUAGUGGCGAAGGCGAGAUGCUGGACACUUACUGACGCUGAGGCUCGAAGGCCAGGGUAGCGAAAGGGAUUAGAUACCCCUGUAGUCCUGGCAGUAAACGGUGCACGUUUGGUGUGAGAAGGUUCGACCCUUUUCGUGCCGGAGUUAACGCGUUAAACGUGCCGCCUGGGGAGUACGGUCGCAAGACUAAAACUCAAAGAAAUUGACGGGGACCCGCACAAGCGGUGGAGUAUGUGGCUUAAUUCGAUGCAACGCGAAGAACCUUACCUAGGCUUGACAUGCAUCUCUAAACCGGUGAAAGCCGGGGAGCGGAGCAAUCCGUAAUUUGCACAGGUGCUGCAUGGCUGUCGUCAGCUCGUGUCGUGAGAUGUUUGGCUAAGUCCAGCAACGAGCGCAACCC